UACGGGGGGUGCAAGCGUUGUCCGGAUUUAUUGGGUUUAAAGGGUGCGCAGGCGGCCUUGUAAGUCAGUGUUUAAAUUUAGCCGCUUAACGGUUAGUAUGGCAUUGAUACUGUGAGGCUUGAGUGAAGUAGAGGCAGGCGGAAUUUAUGGUGUAGCGGUGAAAUGCAUAGAUACCAUAAAGAACACCGAUAGCGAAGGCA
Molecule: ribosomal RNA, 200 nt
Filed under: uncultured bacterium
Lineage: Bacteria
Description: partial 16S ribosomal RNA
Rfam family: Bacterial small subunit ribosomal RNA
Source: RNAcentral